GUGGUUUUCAAGUCUUGGCUCCCUGGGUAGAUUCGUCAUUGAGAAAGUCCCUUCCCAUCAAAGGAGAAGUCGCCUCCUUCACUGCGUCAGGAAACAUUUCUUUCCAACAAUCUCGUCAGGACAUGCUUGAAUUUUGAAGCAAUGCAGACUCUCCGAUUCGGUUCUGUGCAUUCUUUACACUGCUUAUUCAUAUUAGUAUCAGCUAUUAUUACACAGGCACCUAGGAUUGCCUCAGUUGCUGUACCGAGUUCCAGCUGCUAUGUUCUUGAUAAUUCUAGUCGCCUUGUAGACUUUAGCAGCUGGAUUGGGCACGAAUUUGAUUAUGAAGGAAAGGGAAAUACUGACUUAGCUGUUCGAUUUUGCAAAGACGUUGAGAAAAGAUCACAAACGGGAUAUGUGGAUUUUGGCCGAUUUGAUAAGUUCAACUACUUUGCUUCUGGUUCAGGACAUGUUGAUUUUGUUCAACGGUUUUACAAUGGUGACCUGGCCAAUUGUGAGCAUAGUUAUGACAAACUGGGACGAACAGCUCAGGUUGGUUGUAAUUUUGAAACCAAGCCUUUUUAGUGACAAACCCAAUCUUCCUCUGUCCGCACGGACAAAAAUAAAUACAUAAGGGAAGAAGGAAAAAGAUAUCACUUUUUUAAGAAGUUUACACAUCUCUACAGCUAUUUGACGUCAGGUUCUAUGCAUCAAUUGUCCUCAUGAAUCUUUAUGAGUUUUAUAAAUAUUUCUUUCCUGCAAUUGCAGGUGAAUAUCAUAUGUGGAAAUUGUUUAAAUAGACGAUGCAAAGGUUUGUGAAUACUUUAUUUAUGAAUUUUAACUCCCAGUUUCUUCAUACAAAAAGAAUUUAUAUACCUAUUAUUUUUUUUAGUAGUUGUUAAACUAUUUAAGUUUGGUCAAUGUUUUGUACCCUCUCCGUGGUUUCAUGAAACCAGAAUUGAUUAGUCAAUUUGAGUGACUAUAAUAUAACAAUUACAAAACUUGUAUAUUCAGUGCGGAAAAAGAAACAUUGAAUAGCAAGUCAAUAUUAUAGUAAAUGAUUGUUUAGUGAAAUUGAUGCACACUUAAGACUCAUUUGUAAAUCCAUAAAGCAUUAAAAUGGAUGGUUAGAACUAUUGGAUUUAAUUAUUUUGAUUGCUGGUGCAUGUAUGGAAAGGGAGAAUGAUAAAAACUAUAUUUACCCUCUACUGCUGUCUUAUGAUUUCCGAGUUCCCUUGGCUGCUUUGAACUGUCACAAGGCUGACUGAGCCUGAGCUUUGAAAUGGCUGGAUGUUAAGCUUAAACACAUAAUGGGAUUGUAGCUCCAGCUUGCCAUACUUUUUCUUCUGGGAUAAGACUGCAUACAUCAACCCUACCCAGAGCCUACAAGUGCAGGAUGCUUAAUGCCAUGGGUCACCCUAUUUUGGCUUGCAUUACUUUUGCAGUUCUUUCUGCUAUCUUUAUCCUUUUUGCAAUUCUUGUUUCUAUGGAUUUGAAUUGCCUAUCAGUCAAAUAUUUCGUCAGUAAUCAAUGAGCAGUGUCAUUGUCUUUGUUGUCAUAUCUUAGGUGAACUUGGAUGCAUAUGCAAUAUCACAUAUGACUCAGACUGCAGAGUUUUUGUUGAACUUGCUGUUCUGUGUGAGAAACGUGGCCCGCGAGUAUUCAAGGGCUUCACUGUUGGAUUUCAUCCACGUUCAUGGGAAAUUGUUUACAAUGGCUUGACUCAACCAGGUUAUGAAAAAUCUUACCAGGACUUUAGCUUCAGCACUGAACAAGCUCAUGUUACCCUUUAUAUGACUGCAAUUGCUUCCCUUUCUACUUUGGUGCGAAAACCCUUUGUUAAGGUUCUUCCUGAGAAAGGUCUUGGGGUUAGUUUGUCCGGCUCGGGUGCAAUCGGGAAUUCUCCUUCAACUUUGUCACCAACAAUGUUGAUUGUGAAUUGGAGAUGUCUGGAGGUCCGUGAUACACCUUAUGAAGUUAAUGUCACAAUCCCAAUAGAGGGUUAUGAACCUAUUCAGUUUUUUCUUACAAAAAAGUGUGGUAAGCUUUUAUUCCUUUCACAAAGCAAAAAUUUUCUCUCUUCCAUCCUACUUAGCUCUUAAUCUUAUCAUCAGUUAAAUCCUUUAUGAAUUUUUAGAUGGAAAAAAGAAAUAGAACCAAUCAUAACAAGUUCUUUGGCUGAGAAACAUAGCCUUGUGAUUAAACUAUAUUGCUUGAGUUGGCUGGAUGUCUGCAAUAUGCCAUAUAUAAAUGGCUCCAUAAAUGUGCCCUUUAACUUGCUGAAAUCCCCAAAUGUAACUGGCAGUGUCACUUCUUCAGCACAUGAUAAGAAAAGGUGACACUCUGAUUUGUUGGGGGCUAGUAGGACUGCCAGUAGAUCUUGAUACCAAUUUCUACCAAAUCCUUGUACCAUUUUCUGCUUUAAUUUCAUUUUCUGGUUGGUGGUUUAUGCUUAAGUUUCUAGUUUUCCUGAAGGCCCAGCUUGCUUGUUCAAAUUUUGCAGAACGCAGGGAGAAUCAAGAGGAAGACUCUAGACGAGGAUGGGCUAUCUUCGGGGUCAUAUCUUGCGUGUAUGACAAUUUUGACAAAUUCUUUUUCAUCUUAGUUACUGUUGAAAGCAUAUGCUUAUAUAUUUUGCAAAGUGUAUUAGUACUAGAAAUGUCUGAUGUGGGCAGUCAGUCUCUGUACUGCAGUCUUUAUGCCAUAUGCAUUUUUGAACUUGCAGAUUGUCCAAUGUGUUUGUAUAUGUAUGAAAUCUACGUUAGACUAGUUUGAGAUCAUGUAUGUGUCCUUGGCUUUUCACACAUCACUCAUAAAGCAUUGUUUCUACUCAAUCUUUUGUUAACCAGGCUUUACUCUUUUCCAUCAGCAAUUGAAAAAUGUCAGUGUCCUUAUUGGCACGUUACAAUUCUAUUAGAUAUUUUUUUAUCCACUAUGAAUUUUGAUAUUUGAACAAAUUGGAGUUGAGCAGAUUCUUUGUCUCAUCAACACUGUUUUGUUGUGCGGGGUUUAUCUACAAGACACGUGUGGAACGCCUGCGUGGGAUUGAUGCAUUGCCAGGCAUGACAACAUUAUCUGCAUGUUUGGAAAUUGCAAGUGGGGAUGGGCACGGAUAUGCACAAGCAGCAGAUGUCAACAGUGGCUACUCACGAGUGGAAGCCUCUUGGGAACGACCGUCUGCCUCAGCUCAAGGAACAUGGAGAACAAGUGACAGGAAAUAUGGUUCAAUUUAAGCUUUGUAUCUUGACUCAUUCGAGUUUUAGGAAAAUUUGCAAUUUAUGAGUUUUGAACUGAAGAUAUGGGAUGCAAAGUUGAUUUUGCCCACAGAACAUACUUGUAAGAGACUCUGAUUGAAUCAAAUUGAAGCUAUAGGGUAUUGUUGUACAGGAUUUUGUUUCGGAUUUUAAUGUUAAGAGUUGGAUCAGGAUUUCAAACUCAAAGAGUAAAGGAAAUGUUUGAUUUGCUUCAAUAAAGCUAGGGUUGUG
This 3464-nucleotide unclassified non-coding RNA is filed under the name Hevea brasiliensis (rubber tree). Lineage: Eukaryota; Viridiplantae; Streptophyta; Magnoliopsida; Malpighiales; Euphorbiaceae. The record is from RNAcentral.